AUGGGAGGCCGCUCCGUGGCGUCCCGGAUCGCACGGCGAGAUCUUCCUCCGCCGCAAGGCUCCACCGGCGACGACAACGGCAGGCGUAAAGCUUCCCCCGAAAAGCCACGGCCCCUGAUUCCUGUGUCUGCUAAAGGCCUAGCCGGAACGAGACAAGGCCAACGGGCUCACCGCCGUACGUACGCCGCAAUCAUUCGGCGACCGGCCAGCCAGCCAGCGAGGGAGCUAGUCCGAUCUUCUUCCGUCCGCUUCUGGUCGUCGACGGGGAAGAGGACGAACGAAUUAGGCCAGCGCUGUCGCGGCACGUUUGACGGAUUAGCUUUCUGA
Molecule: ribosomal RNA, 327 nt
Filed under: Triticum aestivum (bread wheat)
Lineage: Eukaryota; Viridiplantae; Streptophyta; Magnoliopsida; Poales; Poaceae
Description: partial small subunit ribosomal RNA
Source: RNAcentral